GAUGAAGAACGCAGCGAAAUGCGAUAAGUAGUGUGAAUUGCAGAAUUUAGUGAAUCAUCGAAUCUUUGAACGCACAUUGCGCCCUAUAGUAUUCUGUAGGGCAUGCCUGUUCGAGCGUUAUUGAGACCUCAAGCUCUGCUUGGAAAUGGGCGCUUGUCUUGCCUUGCAGACUCGCCUUAAAACCAUUGGCAGCUGAUUUACAAUGUUUGGUGCACAGUACAUGAGCCCAAGUGUUGCAAUGAGUGGCCCAAAAGUAUACAAUAGAAGCUUAACCUCGGAUCAGGUAGGGAUAGCCGCUGAACUUAAGCAUAUCAAUAAGCGGAGGA
Molecule: unclassified non-coding RNA, 326 nt
Filed under: soil metagenome
Description: partial contains 5.8S ribosomal RNA, internal transcribed spacer 2, and large subunit ribosomal RNA
Rfam family: 5.8S ribosomal RNA (bases 1-120)
Source: RNAcentral